Molecule: ribosomal RNA, 811 nt
Filed under: uncultured bacterium
Lineage: Bacteria
Description: bacterial SSU rRNA
Rfam family: Bacterial small subunit ribosomal RNA
Source: RNAcentral
AGAGUUUGAUCAUGGCUCAGAACGAACGCUGGCGGCGUGGAUAAGACAUGCAAGUCGAACGGGACUAUUUCUAGUAGCAAUACCGGGAAUAGUUUAGUGGCGAACGGGUGCGUAACACGUGGGCAAUCUGCCGAAAAGUGGGGGAUAGCUCGCCGAAAGGCGAAUUAAUACCGCAUGUGGUGAGGGAAGACAUCUUUUUGAAUCCAAAGGUGGCGCAAGCUACCGCUUUUUGAGGAGCCCGCGGCCUAUCAGCUAGUUGGUGAGGUAACGGCUCACCAAGGCGAUGACGGGUAGCUGGUCUGAGAGGACGACCAGUCACACUGGAACUGAGACACGGUCCAGACACCUACGGGUGGCAGCAGUCGAGAAUUUUUCUCAAUGGGGGAAACCCUGAAGGAGCGACGCCGCGUGGAGGAUGAAGGCUUUCGGGUUGUAAACUCCUGUCAUUUGGGAACAAGGCGUUAAAAUUAACUGUUUUGACGUUGAUAGUACCAGAAGAGGAAGGGACGGCUAACUCUGUGCCAGCAGCCGCGGUAAUACAGAGGUCUCAAGCGUUGUUCGGAUUCAUUGGGCGUAAAGGGUGCGUAGGUGGCGCCGUAAGUCGGGUGUGAAAUUUCGGAGCUUAACUCCGAAACUGCAUUCGAUACUGCGGUGCUUGAGGACUGGAGAGGAGACUGGAAUUCAUGGUGUAGCAGUGAAAUGCGUAGAGAUCAUGAGGAAGACCAGUGGCGAAGGCGGGUCUCUGGACAGUUCCUGACACUGAGGCACGAAGGCCCAGGGGAGCAACGGGGAUUAGAUACCCCAGUAGUCC